This 1397-nucleotide ribosomal RNA is filed under the name uncultured bacterium. RNAcentral's name for it is "partial 16S ribosomal RNA". It matches the Rfam family "Bacterial small subunit ribosomal RNA". The record is from RNAcentral.
GAGUUUGAUCCUGGCUCAGAUUGAACGCUGGCGGCAUGCUUUACACAUGCAAGUCGGACGGCAGCACAGAGAAGCUUGCUUCUUGGGUGGCGAGUGGCGAACGGGUGAGUAAUAUAUCGGAACGUACCGAGUAAUGGGGGAUAACUAAUCGAAAGAUUAGCUAAUACCGCAUAUUCUCUGAGGAGGAAAGCAGGGGACCUUCGGGCCUUGCGUUAUUCGAGCGGCCGAUAUCUGAUUAGCUAGUUGGUGGGGUAAAGGCCUACCAAGGCGACGAUCAGUAGCGGGUCUGAGAGGAUGAUCCGCCACACUGGGACUGAGACACGGCCCAGACUCCUACGGGAGGCAGCAGUGGGGAAUUUUGGACAAUGGGCGCAAGCCUGAUCCAGCCAUGCCGCGUGUCUGAAGAAGGCCUUCGGGUUGUAAAGGACUUUUGUCAGGGAAGAAAAGGCUGUUGCUAAUAUCGACAGCUGAUGACGGUACCUGAAGAAUAAGCACCGGCUAACUACGUGCCAGCAGCCGCGGUAAUACGUAGGGUGCAAGCGUUAAUCGGAAUUACUGGGCGUAAAGCGAGCGCAGACGGUUACUUAAGCAGGAUGUGAAAUCCCCAGGCUUAACCUGGGAACUGCGUUCUGAACUGGGUGACUAGAGUGUGUCAGAGGGAGGUAGAAUUCCACGUGUAGCAGUGAAAUGCGUAGAGAUGUGGAGGAAUACCGAUGGCGAAGGCAGCCUCCUGGGAUAACACUGACGUUCAUGCUCGAAAGCGUGGGUAGCAAACAGGAUUAGAUACCCUGGUAGUCCACGCCCUAACUGAUGUCAAUUAGCUGUUGGGCACUUGAUUGCUACUAGGGUAGCUAAGGCGGGAAAUGCACCCCCUGGGGAGGACGGUCGCAGGAUGUAAAAAUCAAGGGAAUAAUGGGUGACCCCCCCAAGCCCCCCACCCCCCGGAUAAAUUUGAUGUAUUGGGAGAACCAUUAUAUGGUGGGGGGGUGUUCCCCCCUCUACCCCCCCGGAGGGGGGCUUAGGGGACCGAAAAAAAAGGUGAUGCAUGGCUGUCGUCAGCUAGUGUCGGGAGAGGCCGGGUUAAGUCCCCCAACGAGCGCAACCCUUGUCAUUAGUCGCCAUCAUUUAGUGGGGCACUUUAAUGAGACUGCCGGUGACAAGCCGGAGGAAGGUGGGGAUGCCCCCCCCCCCUCACGGCCCUUAUGACCAGGGCCUCACCCCCCCCACAAUGGUCGGUACAGAGGGUAGCCAAGCCGCGAGGUGGAGCCAAUCUCACAAAACCGAUCGUAGUCCGGAUUGCACUCUGCAACUCGAGUGCAUGAAGUCGGAAUAGGGAGUAAUCGCAGGUCAGCAUACUGCGGUGAAUACGUUCACGGGUCUUGUACACACCGCCCGUC